RNAcentral lists this transfer RNA (72 nucleotides) under Perkinsus olseni. Its description in RNAcentral is "tRNA-Pro". It matches the Rfam family "tRNA". From Rfam's summary of the family: Transfer RNA (tRNA) molecules are approximately 80 nucleotides in length. The record is from RNAcentral. Lineage: Eukaryota; Perkinsozoa; Perkinsida; Perkinsidae.
GGCUGUGUGGUCUAGUGGUAUGAUUCUCGCUUAGGGUGCGAGAGGUCUCGAGUUCAAUUCUCGGCACAGCCC